GGGGUUGUGGCUCAGAGGUAGAGCACUUGCCUAGCAUGCAUGAGGCACUGGGUUCAAUCCUCAGCACCA
Non-coding RNA from Ictidomys tridecemlineatus (thirteen-lined ground squirrel), 69 nucleotides. Lineage: Eukaryota; Metazoa; Chordata; Mammalia; Rodentia; Sciuridae. The record is from Rfam.